GUUCUGGUUGCCGAGUGGUUAGAGUGUCCGCCUCAAAUGUGGGAGGUCACGGGUUCAAACCCCAGCCAAAUCA
Molecule: non-coding RNA, 73 nt
Organism: Potamilus streckersoni
Lineage: Eukaryota; Metazoa; Mollusca; Bivalvia; Unionida; Unionidae
Source: the annotation of a GenBank genome assembly